This 492-nucleotide ribosomal RNA is filed under the name uncultured bacterium. Its description in RNAcentral is "partial 16S ribosomal RNA". It matches the Rfam family "Bacterial small subunit ribosomal RNA", at positions 29 to 507 of the family's 1533-position model. The record is from RNAcentral.
AGUGAACGCUGGCGGUAGGCCUAACACAUGCAAGUCGAACGGCAGCACAGUAAGAGCUUGCUCUUACGGGUGGCGAGUGGCGGACGGGUGAGGAAUACAUCGGAAUCUACUUUUUCGUGGGGGAUAACGUAGGGAAACUUACGCUAAUACCGCAUACGACCUACGGGUGAAAGCAGGGGAUCUUCGGACCUUUCGCGAUUGUAUGAGCCGAUUUCGGAUUAGCUAGUUGGCGGGGUAAAGGCCCACCAAGGCGACGAUCCGUAGCUGGUCUGAGAGGAUGAUCAGCAACACUGGAACUGAGACACGGUCCAGACUCCUACGGGAGGCAGCAGUGGGGAAUAUUGGACAAUGGGCGCAAGCAUGAUACAGCCAUACCGCGUGGGUGAAGAAGGCCUUCGGGUUGUAAAGCCCUUUUGUUGGGAAAGAAAAGCAGCAGGUUAAUACCCCGCUGUUCUGACGGUACCCAAAGAAUAAGCACCGGCUAACUUCGUG